Molecule: ribosomal RNA, 182 nt
Filed under: uncultured bacterium
Lineage: Bacteria
Description: partial 16S ribosomal RNA
Rfam family: Bacterial small subunit ribosomal RNA
Source: RNAcentral
CAUGAAGCUGGAAUCGCUAGUAAUCGCAGAUCAGAAUGCUGCGGUGAAUACGUUCCCGGGUCUUGUACACACCGCCCGUCACACCAUGGGAGUCGGAAAUGCCCGAAGCCGGUGACCCAACCAAAAGGAGGGAGCCGUCGAAGGCAGGUCUGAUAACUGGGGUGAAGUCGUAACAAGGUAUC